RNAcentral lists this unclassified non-coding RNA (481 nucleotides) under Hevea brasiliensis (rubber tree). Lineage: Eukaryota; Viridiplantae; Streptophyta; Magnoliopsida; Malpighiales; Euphorbiaceae. The record is from RNAcentral.
GGACCCUUCCUCUUUGGAAAAAGCACAUGAGGAAGUAGACAGAGUUUUGGGAGGACGCUCUCCGACUUAUGAAGAUAUGAAGAAUCUCAAGUUCUUAACACGGUGCAUAACUGAGUCACUCAGACUCUAUCCACAUCCACCUGUCCUGAUAAGACGAGCUCAAGUAGCUGAUGUCCUCCCCGGGAAUUACAAAGUCAAUGUUGGUCAGGAUAUAAUGAUUUCGGUAUAUAACAUUCAUCAUUCUUCAGAGGUAUGGGAUAGAGCUGAAGAAUUUGAUCCUGAAAGAUUCGACUUGGAAGGUCCCGUCCCAAAUGAAACAAAUACUGACUUUAGAUUCAUCCCGUUUAGUGGAGGGCCACGAAAAUGCGUUGGUGAUCAAUUUGCCUUGUUGGAAGCUACAAUUGCUCUCGCAAUAUUUGUACAGAACUUCUCAUUCGAGUUGAUUCCAGAUCAAACUAUUAGCAUGACUACUGGAGCAACC